This is a long non-coding RNA of Manis pentadactyla (Chinese pangolin), 850 nucleotides long. RefSeq lists it as uncharacterized. The transcript has 3 exons. Lineage: Eukaryota; Metazoa; Chordata; Mammalia; Pholidota; Manidae. The record is from RefSeq and is a predicted model, not a curated record.
CUGGGUGGGAUCGGUGGACUUUGGAGCUCCGAAUACUUAGACUGAUUCUAGGGUCAUAAACUCAAGCUCCAAGAGAGUUUGUAUAAAUCCUGCCCACUCUUCCAGCCAUUAUUAAUCUGUUAUCAGCCGAGACUCCACCCCUCCGACCCCAACCCGGACCCGGCCGCGGUUUCUCCAAGUAGAGUAAAUUCUCGAAGACAGGAGCCUUUAUUCGAUCCUUUUAUUAACUUAACGGCGUCUGCACAUGACAAUGUCAGCAGUUUGUACAUGGGACUAUAAAGCGUUUAGCAGACUCCACAGAGAUGCUGCCCAGGAGAGAAAAAGAGUAAGGUCCACAUUCCUAAAAACUGAACAAGGAGAUGCUCUGAGAAGUGGAACCGAUUAUUCAGACUUCACAGAUUGAGGACCCUGCGCCCCAGGGAGCCAAGUGCAGUGCCCCAAAUCACAGAGCUGGAUCAGAGCCACGUUCUCUGUACCAAGAACAGCUUCUUUCCAUUGCACCAUGGCAGCAUGGCAGUCAACACCUUCCCUCGGAAUAGUAAUCAGUAAGUCUAAAAGGGCGAAGGUUCUGGGCCUGCUGCACCAGCCCGGUGCACAAGAGACAAUGCCUUAUAUGUAUUGGAACUCAAGUAUAACAUGUUGUCACUUGUAAAUGAAGAGAGUCACUGUCAGUAGAACAUGCCUUUUGAGUUGGGGAGCUCCCAGCAAACAGUCAGGCUCUGAAAGGCUGUAUUUAUUAAGUCCGAAGCGACAUCUACCAGCUACUGUAUGCAAUUCUCUGAAGUGUCACAAAAGAAUUACCAAUACCAGCAGGGUUGGUUUUGUCUCCUCUUGUUUCUUUUCAACCAAU